GCAUUAAUGGGGUAGUGGUAACCUGGGUCGUUGCCAAUAGGUAACUUCGACCCGCCGGGGGUUCGAUUCCCCCUUAAUGCA
Non-coding RNA from Amanita rubescens, 81 nucleotides. The record is from the annotation of a GenBank genome assembly. NCBI's taxonomy places the organism in Eukaryota, Fungi, Basidiomycota, Agaricomycetes, Agaricales, Amanitaceae.